AGCGAGUUGGAGCAGUGGAAGCUCGUCAGACUCAUAUUCUGAAGGCCGUAGGUUCGAAUCCUGCACUCGCCA
RNAcentral lists this transfer RNA (72 nucleotides) under Caudoviricetes sp. Its description in RNAcentral is "tRNA-Met". It matches the Rfam family "tRNA". From Rfam's summary of the family: Transfer RNA (tRNA) molecules are approximately 80 nucleotides in length. Their secondary structure includes four short double-helical elements and three loops (D, anti-codon, and T loops). Lineage: Duplodnaviria; Heunggongvirae; Uroviricota; Caudoviricetes. The record is from RNAcentral.